This is a non-coding RNA of Dipodomys ordii (Ord's kangaroo rat), 65 nucleotides long. NCBI's taxonomy places the organism in Eukaryota, Metazoa, Chordata, Mammalia, Rodentia, Heteromyidae. The record is from Rfam.
GGUGGCUCAGUGGUAGAGUACUUGCCUUGCAUGCAUGAGGCCCUGGGUUUGAUUCCCCAGCACCA